UACGUAGGGUGCAAGCGUUGUCCGGAAUUAUUGGGCGUAAAGAGCUCGUAGGCGGUCUGUCACGUCGGCUGUGAAAACCCGGGGCUCAACCCCGGGCCUGCAGUCGAUACGGGCAGACUAGAGUGCGGUAGGGGAGGCUGGAAUUCCUGGUGUAGCGGUGAAAUGCGCAGAUAUCAGGAGGAACACCGGUGGCGAAGGCGGGUCUCUGGGCCGUAACUGACGCUGAGGAGCGAAAGCGUGGGGAGCGAACAGG
RNAcentral lists this ribosomal RNA (253 nucleotides) under uncultured bacterium. Its description in RNAcentral is "partial 16S ribosomal RNA". It matches the Rfam family "Bacterial small subunit ribosomal RNA", at positions 524 to 776 of the family's 1533-position model. The record is from RNAcentral.